This 203-nucleotide ribosomal RNA is filed under the name uncultured bacterium. Its description in RNAcentral is "partial 16S ribosomal RNA". It matches the Rfam family "Bacterial small subunit ribosomal RNA", at positions 524 to 726 of the family's 1533-position model. The record is from RNAcentral.
GACGUAGGGCGCGAGCGUUGUCCGGAUUUAUUGGGCGUAAAGAGCUCGUAGGCGGUUUGUUGCGUCGGCUGUGAAAACCCAUGGCUUAACUGUGGGCUUGCAGCCGAUACGGGCAGACUAGAGUUCGGUAGGGGAGACUGGAAUUCCUGGUGUAGCGGUGAAAUGCGCAGAUAUCAGGAGGAACACCGGUGGCGAAGGCGGGU